Molecule: ribosomal RNA, 222 nt
Filed under: uncultured bacterium
Lineage: Bacteria
Description: partial 16S ribosomal RNA
Rfam family: Bacterial small subunit ribosomal RNA
Source: RNAcentral
AGUAAUGUCUGGGAAACUGCCUGAUGGAGGGGGAUAACUACUGGAAACGGUAGCUAAUACCGCAUAACGUCGCAAGACCAAAGUGGGGGACCUUCGGGCCUCAUGCCAUCAGAUGUGCCCAGAUGGGAUUAGCUAGUAGGUGGGGUAACGGCUCACCUAGGCGACGAUCCCUAGCUGGUCUGAGAGGAUGGCCAGCCACACUGGAACUGAGACACGGUCCAG